UGAGGAAUAUUGGUCAAUGGGUGCAAGCCUGAACCAGCCAUCCCGCGUGAAGGACGACUGCCCUAUGGGUUGUAAACUUCUUUUGUAUAGGGAUAAACCUACCCUCGUGAGGGUAGCUGAAGGUACUAUACGAAUAAGCACCGGCUAACUCCGUGCCAGCAGCCGCGGUAAUACGGAGGGUGCAAGCGUUAUCCGGAUUUAUUGGGUUUAAAGGGUCCGUAGGCGGACUUAUAAGUCAGUGGUGAAAGCCUGUCGCUUAACGAUAGAACUGCCAUUGAUACUGUAAGUCUUGAGUAUAUUUGAGGUAGCUGGAAUAAGUAGUGUAGCGGUGAAAUGCAUAGAUAUUACUUAGAACACCAAUUGCGAAGGCAGGUUACCAAGAUAUAACUGACGCUGAGGGACGAAAGCGUGGGGAGCGAACAGG
Molecule: ribosomal RNA, 424 nt
Filed under: Pseudomonas sp.
Lineage: Bacteria; Pseudomonadati; Pseudomonadota; Gammaproteobacteria; Pseudomonadales; Pseudomonadaceae
Also listed under: 4 other names
Description: partial 16S ribosomal RNA
Rfam family: Bacterial small subunit ribosomal RNA
Source: RNAcentral